Molecule: long non-coding RNA, 380 nt
Organism: Oncorhynchus tshawytscha (Chinook salmon)
Lineage: Eukaryota; Metazoa; Chordata; Actinopteri; Salmoniformes; Salmonidae
Source: Ensembl
GGGGUUACUAGAGGAGAGAGAGAGAGAGAGGUGGGGUUACUAGAGGAGAGAGAGAGAGGUGGGGUUACUAGAGGAGAGAGAGAGAGAGAGAUGGGGUUACUAGAGGUAAAGAGAGAGAGGUGGGGUUACUAGAGGGAGGGAGAGAGAGAGGUGGGGUUACUAGAGGGAGAGAGAAAGAGAGGUGGGGUUACUAGAGGUAAAGAGAGAGAGAGAGAGGUGGGGUUACUAGAGGUAAAGAGAGAGAGAGAGAGAGAGAGAGGUGGGGUUACUAGAGGAGAGAGAGAGAGAGGUGGGGUUACUAGAGGAGAGAGAGAGAGGUGGGGUUUACUAGAGGAGAGAGAGAGAGAGGUGGGGUUUACUAGAGGAGAGAGAGAGGUGGG